UGACUAUCCAAACGAAAAUCAAUUCCAUUCUACACUCUUUGCUACCUCAAAAAAUGCACAUACACAUUUGAGACAGAACCCAACAAUUAUUAAAAGAUUAGAACUGCACUUUGAUGAACAAACCAAACCCAAAAUUAACAUAAAAACACCGAUCAAAAUCAUUUCCUCUCUCUCUUUCGAUCACCUGAUUCCUAUGGCCUCAUCGGAGCGACGCGGUGAUCGGUGGCCAACAACCGUCGAACCGAAAAAAAACAAACACAACCCUCCUCUAAUCUACUCCCUAAGCACGAAUCCUAACCUGAUUUCCCUCUCAAAAACCGCCAAUCUUUCGGAUCGGAGUAUCGAACCUCUCUUGAAUCAAAUCAAUCAAAACGAAACAAAUCUAACGCUAAACAGAGUACACCACGCAAAGAGAUUUACAUGAAAACAAAAGGGUAAAGCUCGAUCUGCAUAUGUAUAAGGCAAGAACAACCUAACAUGUUCAUAUAUUUGCUACGAUGCUUUUAUAGUCCAAGGAGGAG
RNAcentral lists this long non-coding RNA (521 nucleotides) under Lathyrus oleraceus (garden pea). Its description in RNAcentral is "Pisum sativum (pea) long non-coding RNA (PSAT_LNC005528)". Lineage: Eukaryota; Viridiplantae; Streptophyta; Magnoliopsida; Fabales; Fabaceae. The record is from RNAcentral.